UCUUUUUCCACCGGAGCUUGCUCCACCGGAAAAAGAGGAGUGGCGAACGGGUGAGUAACACGUGGGUAACCUGCCCAUCAGAAGGGGAUAACACUUGGAAACAGGUGCUAAUACCGUAUAACAAUCGAAACCGCAUGGUUUUGAUUUGAAAGGCGCUUUCGGGUGUCGCUGAUGGAUGGACCCGCGGUGCAUUAGCUAGUUGGUGAGGUAACGGCUCACCAAGGCCACGAUGCAUAGCCGACCUGAGAGGGUGAUCGGCCACAUUGGGACUGAGACACGGCCCAAACUCCUACGGGAGGCAGCAGUAGGGAAUCUUCGGCAAUGGACGAAAGUCUGACCGAGCAACGCCGCGUGAGUGAAGAAGGUUUUCGGAUCGUAAAACUCUGUUGUUAGAGAAGAAUAAGGAUGAGAGUAACUGUUCAUCCCUUGACGGUAUCUAACCAGAAAGCCACGGCUAACUACGUGCCAGCAGCCGCGGUAAUACGUAGGUGGCAAGCGUUGUCCGGAUUUAUUGGGCGUAAAGCGAGCGCAGGCGGUUUCUUAAGUCUGAUGUGAAAGCCCCCGGCUCAACCGGGGAGGGUCAUUGGAAACUGGGAGACUUGAGUGCAGAAGAGGAGAGUGGAAUUCCAUGUGUAGCGGUGAAAUGCGUAGAUAUAUGGAGGAACACCAGUGGCGAAGGCGGCUCUCUGGUCUGUAACUGACGCUGAGGCUCGAAAGCGUGGGGAGCAAACAGGAUUAGAUACCCUGGUAGUCCACGCCGUAAACGAUGAGUGCUAAGUGUUGGAGGGUUUCCGCCCUUCAGUGCUGCAGCUAACGCAUUAAGCACUCCGCCUGGGG
This 837-nucleotide ribosomal RNA is filed under the name Enterococcus hirae. Its description in RNAcentral is "bacterial SSU rRNA". It matches the Rfam family "Bacterial small subunit ribosomal RNA", at positions 70 to 878 of the family's 1533-position model. The record is from RNAcentral. Lineage: Bacteria; Bacillati; Bacillota; Bacilli; Lactobacillales; Enterococcaceae.